This 458-nucleotide ribosomal RNA is filed under the name uncultured bacterium. Its description in RNAcentral is "partial 16S ribosomal RNA". It matches the Rfam family "Bacterial small subunit ribosomal RNA", at positions 338 to 795 of the family's 1533-position model. The record is from RNAcentral.
CCUACGGGCGGCAGCAGUGAGGAAUAUUGGUCAAUGGGCGAGAGCCUGAACCAGCCAAGUCGCGUGAGGGAGUACUGCCCUAUGGGUUGUAAACCUCUUUUGUCGGGGAGCAAAAGCCGGAAGUGUCCGGCUGUGAGAGUACCCGAAGAAAAAGCAUCGGCUAACUCCGUGCCAGCAGCCGCGGUAAUACGGGGGAAGCGAGCGUUAUCCGGAUUUAUUGGGUUAAAGGGGGGCGCAGGCGGAUUUUUAAGUAAGCGGGAAAAUCGUGGGGCUCAACCCCAUCCAGCCGUUGAAACUGGGGAUCUAGAGUGUGCGAGAGGUAUGCGGAAUGCGUGGUGUAGCGGUGAAAUGCAUAGAUAUCACGCAGAACCCCGAUUGCGAAGGCAGCAUACCGGUGCACAACUGACGCUCAGGCACGAAAGCGUGGGUAUCGAACAGGAUUAGAUACCCUUGUAGUC